AGCCCUUGACAUGGUCGGACGGUUUCCAGAGAUGGAUUCCUUCACUUCGGUGACUGACACACAGGUGCUGCAUGGCUGUCGUCAGCUCGUGUCGUGAGAUGUUGGGUUAAGUCCCGCAACGAGCGCAACCCUCGCCUUUAGUUGCCAUCAUUUAGUUGGGCACUCUAGAGGACUGCCGGUGAUAAGCCGGAGGAAGGUGGGGAUGACGUCAAGUCUUCAUCGGUCCCGUUACGGGCUCGGG
Molecule: ribosomal RNA, 241 nt
Filed under: uncultured bacterium
Lineage: Bacteria
Description: partial 16S ribosomal RNA
Rfam family: Bacterial small subunit ribosomal RNA
Source: RNAcentral